UUCCACCGACUUCAGUUUCGAUUUAAUAUAGACAAACCAACCACGGCAGAGAUUGAAAGGUUAAGAAGGGAACAGACGGCUCUUCUUCUCUUUUCCUCUGGGUUUUUUCGUCUCCUUGUGUUUUUAUCCUCCAUUGAAAGAUUAUUUACACCGGCCGGUAAAGCCAGCCCUUUUUCUAAAACUUCCCAUGAAUCUCUCUUUUGCUUUAUCUAUUUGUUCGAUCCUUUCUUUUCUGAAAAAAAUAAGAUGCCCUUUGAUUGAAGUCUUGUAUUUCCUGUUAUAUACUGAUUUAGUUGAAUAUUAGGUGAUUGAUUCAUAGUUUAUCGUAGAUUUUAAUUUGCUAUUGUGGGAAUCUACAAAUUGGAAACCCUAGGAUUUUUUUUUUUGGAGUCAGAGUCAAGUUUUCGAUGUUUACUCGUUUGAUUGAUCAAUUUGAAAAGUUUAAUCUUCUGCCUGUUUCCAUUUUUGGCAAUUUUGAUUGAAAACAAAACCCUAUUUGAUAUUAUCUUUUUUAUUUUUUGGGUUACAGUUUGAUCUCCAUUAUUCAAGAUGCCGGCUACAGCAGGAAGGGUUCGCAUGCCUGCGAACAAUAGGGUGCACAGUAGUGCUGCCCUACAGACUCAUGGUAUAUGGCAGAGUGCAAUCGGGUAUGACCCGUAUGCACCCAACAAGGAUGAUUCCAAAAGUUCUUCCCAGCAAAAGCCCUCAAAUGCUGAACCUGAGGCUGAGAAUGCAUACGCCAGCUUCCAGGGCCUUCUAGCUCUUGCCCGUAUCACGGGUUCCAAUGCUGAUGAGGCUCGUGGUGCUUGCAAGAGAUGUGGCCGUGUUGGGCAUCUCGCUUAUCAAUGUAGAAACUUUUUGAGUGUUAAGGAUGAUAAUAAGGAGAAGGACCCAGAAGCAGUCCAGGCAGCAGUUUUGUCUGGAUUGGAAAAGAUAAAGGGAAAUGGAAAAAUUGCAGUUGCGAGCAAGGAGAGCGAGGAAGAGGAGGAAGAGAGUGACACUUCAGAUUCUGAUGUGGAUUCCGAGAUUGAGAGGAUUAUUGCUGAAAGGUAUGGUAAGAAGGGCAGUAGUAAGAGGAGGUCAUCUAGGAAGGAGGAAAAUUCUGAUGAAGGGUCAGAUUCUGAUUCUGGGGAAAGGAAGAAAAGAGGAAGGUCAAAGAAAAGGAGGAGUAAGAAGAGAGAGUCUAGUGAUUCAGAGGAUGAGGAUGAAUGCAAAAGGAAGAGGAGGAGGAGGGAGAAGAGGAGGAAGAGGGAUGAGUCUUCUUCAGAGGAGGAAGAGAGGCGGCACCGCAAGAGGAAGAGUAGGAAGGAGAAGAGGAGGAGAAGUCGUAGAUGUGCUGAUGAUUCUGAAUCAAAUGCAUCUGAUGACUCUGGCAGAAGGCACAGGCGAAAGACCAGGAAGCCAGCAUCACCAUCUGAUUCUGAUUUGAGUGGCUUUGAUGACUCACGAGUUGGAAGGGGUACAAAGCGAUAUGAGAAGAGAAGUAAAAAGCGCCACCUUGAGGAGGAUGAUUGAUCCCCUGCUAGUGAAGGGAUCGAAGGGGAUUAAUCACAGUCUGAGUUAUGAGAAACAGAGCCAACAGUGGUGUGGUUGAAGUACUCAGUUUCAUUGUUGUGUGUGCACGUCUGAAAACUUGUCUCUAUCAAAUUUCUAUUUUUAAAAAGUAAGAAUGGAUGUUCAAAAAUUUGCGUUUGAGGUGUGUAAAGAGCCUGUAAAUUAGCUGCGUUGUUGAAUGUUUUGUUUGGAGCAGCACUUCAGUUUUUAAUUGUAUGCCUAUUUAUUUAUUUGUUUAAACUAGGGGGAAAAAGAUGAGGGAAAGAGGCUUGAGCUUUCUCUAGUUGUAGUAGUAGCAAGUUCAAAUGUAAUUGUGCUGUUUGCAUAGUUGUUUAAGGCAUGCCUCGCACAAAUGCACAAGUGCGAUGCUCCACAUCUAGAAUUAGCAGUCCUCGAUGCUUUUAUUUUUCAACAUCUACACACCUCAAAUUGCUCUCCCCUCCAACCUUGUUUUUGGAUCCCCAACUCUUCUUUAGUGUCUAUGUUUUUGUUUCUGGCGCGCCCUCGAUUGUUGUCUUAAAUAAGUGAUAGGAAAAAAAUGUUAAAAUUUUUUUUAUGCUUU
Molecule: unclassified non-coding RNA, 2116 nt
Filed under: Hevea brasiliensis (rubber tree)
Lineage: Eukaryota; Viridiplantae; Streptophyta; Magnoliopsida; Malpighiales; Euphorbiaceae
Source: RNAcentral